Long non-coding RNA from Hibiscus syriacus, 609 nucleotides. RefSeq lists it as uncharacterized. The transcript is spliced from 4 exons. The record is from RefSeq and is a predicted model, not a curated record. NCBI's taxonomy places the organism in Eukaryota, Viridiplantae, Streptophyta, Magnoliopsida, Malvales, Malvaceae.
UCUCUCCUUUCUACCCAAAUGCAGCAACCGACCAUUCUCAAGCCAAGGUUAAACGCGCCGGCCACCGACCCACGACGUCCUCUUUGCUUCGAUUGGCCAUCCCGAACCGACCGAGGAGUCGAACCAGUCCUAAUCAAGGCCAAACCGAGACCCCAAGUAGACCCUUUUGUCUUCUUCCUCACUCAACUUAGAACUGAAAAGCCGAACCAAACAACUUUCUAACCCGGAGACUUCAACGCUGACGAAAUCUCCAACAAAAGUAUGGGCAAGGGAUGGGCGCUGUUGUCGGGCAUGGUGUGGCGUGGGGAACAACAAAGUAUAGGAGCUGCUGUCGGGCAGGGUGCUUGCGUGGGGAACAACAAGUAAAACAGAGAACACAAGUAACAAAAAUUGCAGAGCAAACAAAAAUCGUAUCCUUUUCACUUCAAGCUUUGAUAGAGGCUGAAAAAGAAGAGAUACAAAUCACAUUGAAGUUUUGAUUGUCUUGUCUGGUUAGAAAGCUUGCAUGUUACAUUGAAAUUCUUAUGGUGAUUGUGUAUGAUCUGGAGGAGCUAAUGAUGAAAUGGCGCUACUAUUAAUUUUUUUGGUAGAUAUUUUAUGUACCAGUUC